UUCUUUGGUUCAUAAGUGUCGUCACUAUGAGACUGAUCGGAUUGUAGCAAUUAAGAACAUCAACUUUAAAGACCUAUCUGAAGGAGUCCCACGCUCAGUCAUAAGAGAAGUCGCACUUUUGAAGAAGUUAGAGCAUAAAUAUAUUGUCUGGUGAUUGACACUCCCUUCUUGUAGUUUCUGAUAUUUAGAGACACAAAAUGAAGCCACGAUAAUCCUUUUCAUCGCACUAUUAGUAGUUUAUCAUUUUUAAACUGUUUUGCACCUUAAUGAAAGAGUAGUUUGAAAUAUUGGGGUGACCAGGAGGGGUCUCAUUCUCAGAUUUAGCUAGAAAAUUUACAAAUACAAUAUAUUCAUGCUCGGAUCAUUGCAUUCUGAGUUUUUAAAUUGUCUAGUUUCCUUCUCUACUGCAGCCAAGGCAAAUUAUGUGAAUGCUGUUGGUAUUUUCUACUUUGCAGCCUCCUUAUACUGCUCGACUAUGACUACUUUCCCUGUCAUUGCACAAUCUCUGCCGAUUUUUGUUUUGUUGAAUCUGAUAUGCUUGGAUAGUUAGAUUACUUUAUGGCUAAAUGCUUUCUAAAUAUAGUCUAGGAUCAAAUUUUAUCAUGCGAAAGAUUUAUUUUGUUCAUACAUCCCAUCAGCUCUAUUAAUCAUCUUGAACUCGUCUAACCAUGAUAUUUUGUCAUUUGAAUACUGAAAACCAGGUUAUUGGAUGUUCAAAGUGAUGCAUAGAGUGCAAACCUGGUUUUUGAGUAUGUCGAC
RNAcentral lists this long non-coding RNA (759 nucleotides) under Citrus maxima (pomelo). Its description in RNAcentral is "long non-coding RNA (CMAX_LNC002754)". The record is from RNAcentral. Lineage: Eukaryota; Viridiplantae; Streptophyta; Magnoliopsida; Sapindales; Rutaceae.